UUCCUAUGCCUCACUGCUCCUCAGAGUUUAAAUUCUGAGAGUCACUGAGAGUCUGAACUGUUCAUUCACUCAAACUGAAAACUGCAUCAUGAUGAUGUUUCCAAUAACUGUGGUUGUCAUAUUCAGUUUUCUGAGUCAAGAGUCAUUUGCCAACAAUUUUCUGACUCAGCCUGAUAAAGCCAAGUCUGUCACUCUGGGAAGGACUGUGACCAUCAGUGCCACAGGGGGUACAAAUAUUGAUAAUGAUCUAAGCUGGUACCUUCUGAAACCUGGACAGCCUCCCAAACCUCUUAUAUACUGGGCAUCAACUCGCUUCUCACGGACUCCGUCUCGUUUCAUCGGCAGUAGAUCUGGUUCUCAGUACACUUUAUCCAUCAGUGAUAUUCAGGCGGACGAUGCUGGAGAUUAUUACUGUCUGGGCUUCCAUGAUGAUGGCACGUUCACACAUUGA
Non-coding RNA from Oreochromis niloticus (Nile tilapia), 451 nucleotides. NCBI's taxonomy places the organism in Eukaryota, Metazoa, Chordata, Actinopteri, Cichliformes, Cichlidae. The record is from the annotation of a RefSeq genome assembly.